RNAcentral lists this ribosomal RNA (502 nucleotides) under uncultured bacterium. Its description in RNAcentral is "partial 16S ribosomal RNA". It matches the Rfam family "Bacterial small subunit ribosomal RNA", at positions 30 to 523 of the family's 1533-position model. The record is from RNAcentral.
AUUGAACGCUGGCGGCAGGCUUAACACAUGCAAGUCGAGCGGGGGAAGGUAGCUUGCUACUGGACCUAGCGGCGGACGGGUGAGUAAUGCUUAGGAAUCUGCCUAUUAGUGGGGGACAACAUCUCGAAAGGGAUGCUAAUACCGCAUACGUCCUACGGGAGAAAGCAGGGGAUCUUCGGACCUUGCGCUAAUAGAUGAGCCUAAGUCGAGAUUAGCUAGUUGGUGGGGUGAAGGCCUACCAAGGCGACGAUCUGUAGCGGGUCUGAGAGGAUGAUCCGACACACUGGGACUGAGACACGGACCAGACUCCUACGGGAGGCAGCAGUGGGGAAUAUUGGACAAUGGGGGGAACCCUGAUCUAGCCAUGCCGCGUGUGUGAAGAAGGCCUUAUGGUUGUAAAGCACUUUAAGCGAGGAGGAGGCUACUUUAGUUAAUACCUAGAGAUAGUGGACGUUACUCGCAGAAUAAGCACCGGCUAACUCUGUGCCAGCCGCCGCCGUAA